Molecule: long non-coding RNA, 218 nt
Filed under: Mus spicilegus (steppe mouse)
Lineage: Eukaryota; Metazoa; Chordata; Mammalia; Rodentia; Muridae
Description: lncRNA (ENSMSIG00000020923.1)
Source: RNAcentral
UUCUAGAACUCUAAGUAUCUGAGCCCCGUAGCAACAACUGACAAGCACAUGACCACCUGAGCACAUGCAGGAGUGGGCAGAGAGGAGAAACAGGAUUGAGCCAGAGUAGUAAGAUCUUAGAAGGAAAGCACACUGAGGGAUUCAGCCAAGAUCUUGCCCUAGAUCUCGUCUCCUUCACAGCAAGGACUGGCAACAGCAGUGACUGCAGGGCCACUUGA